Molecule: long non-coding RNA, 435 nt
Organism: Homo sapiens (human)
Lineage: Eukaryota; Metazoa; Chordata; Mammalia; Primates; Hominidae
Gene: ASMTL-AS1
Product: ASMTL antisense RNA 1
Source: Ensembl
CUGGAGUCCUGGCCAGCCAGGCGGGGAUCCUUCAGCAGGACACAGGGGACACAGCAGGCAACAGGAGCUCAGAACGUCAUGCAGGAUCCGGCACAGGACGUACAGCUCAGCGCUGGGGAGGGGGUCCCUGAAAAAGUCACCUGGUUUAAAGACAAAACGAGAUACGUCCGUCAGACAGAAGAGGAGACAGACACAGAGGAGAAGGCCACGUGGAGACGGAGGCAGAGACUGGAGUGAUGCGGCCACAAGCCCAGGGACGCCUGGAGCCCCCAGGAGCUGGAAGAGGCGGGAAGGAUCCUCCCCUAGAGCCUCUCAGAAAGAAUCAAACACAACUGCAAUGGGUUGGGUGGUGACGUCCAAAAGAUCUGUCCAAGUCCUAAGCCCCAGAACCUGGGAAUGGGACCUCAUUUGGAUAAAGUUUCUUUGCAGAUGUAA